CAGUAGCCGCGGUAAUACGAAGGGGGCUAGCGUUGUUCGGAAUUACUGGGCGUAAAGCGCACGUAGGCGGAUAUUUAAGUCAGGGGUGAAAUCCCAGAGCUCAACUCUGGAACUGCCUUUGAUACUGGGUAUCUUGAGUAUGGAAGAGGUGAGUGGAAUUCCGAGUGUAGAGGUGAAAUUCGUAGAUAUUCGGAGGAACACCAGUGGCGAAGGCGGCUCACUGGUCCAUUACUGACGCUGAGGUGCGAAAGCGUGGGGAGCAAACAGGAUUAGAUACCCCUGUAGUCCCUGUAUCUUAUAC
RNAcentral lists this ribosomal RNA (301 nucleotides) under uncultured bacterium. Its description in RNAcentral is "partial 16S ribosomal RNA". It matches the Rfam family "Bacterial small subunit ribosomal RNA", at positions 509 to 807 of the family's 1533-position model. The record is from RNAcentral.